UUGAACGCUGGCGGAAUGCUUUACACAUGCAAGUCGAGCGGCAGCGCGGGGUAACCUGGCGGCGAGCGGCGGACGGGUGAGUAAUACAUCGGAACGUGCCCAGAUGUGGGGGAUAGCCCGGCGAAAGCCGGAUUAAUACCGCAUGUGAUCUGUGGAUGAAAGCGGGGGACCUUCGGGCCUCGCGCAUUUGGAGCGGCCGAUGGCAGAUUAGGUAGUUGGUGGGGUAAAGGCUUACCAAGCCUACGAUCUGUAGCUGGUCUGAGAGGACGACCAGCCACACUGGGACUGAGACACGGCCCAGACUCCUACGGGAGGCAGCAGUGGGGAAUUUUGGACAAUGGGCGAAAGCCUGAUCCAGCCAUUCCGCGUGCAGGAUGAAGGCCCUCGGGUUGUAAACUGCUUUUGUACGGAACGAAAAGGUUUCCUCUAAUACAGGGAGCUCAUGACGGUACCGUAAGAAUAAGCACCGGCUAACUACGU
RNAcentral lists this ribosomal RNA (480 nucleotides) under uncultured bacterium. RNAcentral's name for it is "bacterial SSU rRNA". It matches the Rfam family "Bacterial small subunit ribosomal RNA", at positions 30 to 506 of the family's 1533-position model. The record is from RNAcentral.